This 1248-nucleotide long non-coding RNA is filed under the name Lotus japonicus. RNAcentral describes it as "long non-coding RNA (LJAP_LNC002161)". Lineage: Eukaryota; Viridiplantae; Streptophyta; Magnoliopsida; Fabales; Fabaceae. The record is from RNAcentral.
GACUGUAAGAAACAACCUGGACCCUUUGGAAGAGUACACAGAUGAACAAGUUUGGGAGGUAAUUUAGUUUUGCUUGACACUAAGAAGAAGUUUCCGUUUUAGUCUUUAGUACCAGUACAUAUUAAUCUAUUUCAUGAUAUAUUUUAGGCUCUAGAUAUGUGCCAACUUGGAGAUGAAAUAAGGAAGAAAGAAGGGAAGCUUGACUCCUUAGGUAUGAAUUCUGAAACUUUGAACAAAUAUGUUAGGAUGUGUUACAAGUUAUAAUUAGAUGUAUAAAUGUGGUGAGAAUCUACUACUUACCAUGAUGAGUUCUGCAGUUACUGAGAAUGGAGGAAAUUGGAGUAUGGGUCAGAGGCAAUUGGUCUGCCUUGGCCGGGUUCUUCUUAAGAAAAGUAAGAUUUUGGUGCUUGAUGAAGCAACUGCAUCAGUUGACACAGUCACAGAUAAUAUUAUUCAGCAAACAGUUAAGCAGCAUUUUUCAGAAUGCACAGUCAUUACAAUUGCUCAUAGAAUAACAUCAAUCCUAGACAGUGACAUGGUUCUGUUUCUAAAUGGAGGCAAGCAAUUUUUUCCCCUUUCUUCAUCUUUAUUUGUCAAUUUUUAUUUUCUUCUCUAGCUCAUAAAUGUGGACCCUGGACAUGGUUUCUCUUCAUAUUGAUCCUGCAGGGCUAAUUGAGGAAUAUGAUUCACCAAAGAAACUGCUUAAGAACAAGUCUUCAGGUCUUGCUCAACUGGUUGCAGAAUACACAAGGAGGUCAAACUCUGGUUUUGGAAGUUGAACUGAAUCUGAAUUAAUGUCACCAACAAUAUAUGUUGUUACGCAGAGAUUUUACAGUUACACAUAUUUUCUCAGAUACUUGUAUGUGACUCACUCUAUAUGGCUAUAUCACAAAUAAGUGCUUGUCUGAUGUUAUUAAAUAGUUAAUGAUAUAAAUGGCCGACCAACAUUUAGCUAGCUAUAAACCGAACUGUAAAAUGAUACCUAUGCAUACCUGAGAAAUUAAUAUGGACAUCCGGGAUCCAACAAUGUUUGAAGGGACUGUAAGAAACAACCUGGACCCUUUGGAAGAGUACACAGAUGAACAAGUUUGGGAGGUAAUUUAGUUUUGCUUGACACUAAGAAGAAGUUUCCGUUUUAGUCUUUAGUACCAGUACAUAUUAAUCUAUUUCAUGAUAUAUUUUAGGCUCUAGAUAUGUGCCAACUUGGAGAUGAAAUAAGGAAGAAAGAAGGGAAGCUUGACUCCUUAG